UCCGUGUACCAUAGAUUGUGGGUUUCAACAUGAAAUGUACAUGUCAUCGUGUUGUAUAUUUUUCCGCCUGCAUGAUAUGAGGCCUUUUAAUAAAAGGGAGAAUUUCCCAAUAUUUAAAUCAAAUAAUAACAUUAACACAUAAAAUAAUAAUUGAAUUUUUUUUUUAGGUUGCAGUAUAAAGACAAUAAUAGUGCAUUGACUUGACAUUCGGUCCGAAACGGGGAAAAAGCUCGGCAAAUCCUCGCUUUUCCAACUUUCUAAAUCUCAUCCUUAUAUCAUUGAUAUGUCAAGUCAACGCACACUUAUUGUCUAUGUAUGUGUAUGUUUUAAUAUUAUACAAAUCAGCAUAAGAAUAUAACAACUUCAAUGUUUUAAAAUCAUAAACAUAUUGGGUACGAGUUGAUGUAGGUAUGAGUUGGCAUAGCACCACAGCGACCUCGUGUGGAAUAUUGUGAAACAGCUUCAUUCUAGACUUGUCAAAAGUCUUGAUUUUUAA
Molecule: long non-coding RNA, 496 nt
Filed under: Mytilus galloprovincialis (Mediterranean mussel)
Lineage: Eukaryota; Metazoa; Mollusca; Bivalvia; Mytilida; Mytilidae
Source: RNAcentral